Molecule: non-coding RNA, 21 nt
Filed under: Arabidopsis thaliana (thale cress)
Lineage: Eukaryota; Viridiplantae; Streptophyta; Magnoliopsida; Brassicales; Brassicaceae
Source: RNAcentral
GUGAUUUCUGCCCAGUGCUCU